UCUCUGGAGAGAAGGAAUGGAGGACGUUUCGGGUCGAGACCCCUCUUCACAUUCCUUGGUGAUGUGAAGGAAGGAAUUGCAGAUGCUGGUUUACUCCGAAGAUAGACACAAAGUACAGGGGUAGCCCAGCGGGUUAGACUGGAGGACUGGAGUGUGGCCAAUUCUGUCCUUUGUUUAAGAAGGGGAGAGAACCCAGGGAACGAUAGGCCGGUGGAAAGAACCAGCAGUAAAAGUAAAAGAAAAACCUGAUUGGAUACAUGCCAACAGAUGUAAACUGUGUCAUUCAGACAGAACCCUCGAGGAGAAGGAGAACGCAAGAGCCGUACAUUUUUGUAGUGAGAAGAUGAUGAUAAGAAAGUGUCAAAAUGUUCUUUAUUAACUAUCUUUGUUGUAAUACAUACUUAUGAAUAUAUUAACAUUAUAUGGGAUCAUAGAGGAUAUGAGGGUGAAGAGCAACAUCUAGAUAGUUACAAGAAACAGGAUGAAGGUAGAAAUUGGAGUAUGAAAUUCAACAAACAAUCUUCACACAGAACACAGUGAACUCGCAGCUGAAAGAAAAACAGGCUUCCUUAUCAGAUUUGAAUGUUGGGUUUGUGCCCAUAUCCCUACGCAUGCUGAAGAAGGUAUCCCUUUGCGAGCUUAAGGACGGGUUCCGACCAAAUUAUAAUCGGACAUGUGUGUCUACAUUUUUGCAACUGAUUAAUGAGAGAAAAUAUUAAAAUCCUUUCUUACUAUAAUAUAAGUGUUGAUCACAAAGAUCAACAAGGAGGGAACUGUGGAAAAAAUAUUAAUAUCCUUUCUUACUUAAUUCUGAUAGGAAUUGAACAAUUUAACAAAAGGGUGUUUGGAUGUGACAAUUGGCAUCUCUCGUUGACCAGGUGUGGAAGAGGUUCAUGGAAAUCGGCAAAUUAAGAUUAGACGUAUUACCUUUUCUAGGAAUGUGUUGGAAGGGUAGAUGGUAAAUGUAAACAUGAAAUUGUAGACGGAGAUAAGGAAGCUUGUUAUUCUCAGCAGUGUGUUAAGGAGUAGACCACCCGCGCCCCCUACCGCUAAUAGUGUAUAUACGUUGCAGUAAAUGGGGGUAUAUGAUUGGCUUGGAGAUGAGAUGGUGGCGCGACCUGCCUAAAAGGAGAGAAAGAAUAAUGUCACAAUGCCCCUGUAUUGGGUUUGACUUGUAUUAACAAUCUGUUGUUGAACAAGAUUGACAUAACCAAAAAGUAUGUUAUGACUAAUGAGAUAAUUGGUACCCAUGUAGUAGAUAGUAUAUUUUUGUAUAGUUGUAUCUGCAUAGUUGUGUUGUAUAGUUGUUUGCUGCACAGUAUAACUGUCAGCUAAUUCUGCUGUGAAGUGAGAGAACCGGUGAGCAGUUAAAUGCCGCCAUCUCUCCAUGAUAUCAUGCAAUAAAGUCUCUUGAAGCAAACCUGCAAAGUCUCCGCUUUUCAUUUUCCUUUAAUUUCCUUCUAAAUUAAUUUCUUCCACAGAAUUUGGCGUAGUCGGCAGGAUCCCAAUUGUAAAGGGAUUCAAACGAAUACAAGUGGGAAAUAAAACUGAAUGAUAAAAUAGUCCUAACCGAAAGGGGGACAGAAGGGCUUCCAAGAGAGAAUGGAGAGUCCCAGGGCAACCUAGCUUAUCUGGCUGGUGACUCACACUGAGACAAGAGGCCUGUGGGGUGAGGCGAAAUAGCGGAGAAGAUAAAUUUACUCACACUGGAGGUAGAAGAUAAAUUGAAGCAGGUGCCGUAAAGCGCGCUAUAGAAAUUGAAAGGUGACUUUGAGGUUUGCGGACAGAGUAAAACCGGAGUGCGCAAACUGUGAAUAGAAUAUAAUAAGAAAUUGUCCGCGGAAACCUAGCUUUUGUUUUACAGACUUCAGAGAAGAAUAUAGGAGGCAACAGUAGUCAAUCGGAGAAAUCUGAUCCUACUGCUAGAGGGAGGCCUGAAGAAAAGAAACAGGUGGUCCAGGAGGGAAAAAUGCAGAUAAGAGAGAACACUGCCAAGGUGAUAAAAAAGACCAUAGGACACCGGGAAAAGAUAGGAGAUCCCAUUGUUCCACCGGGAUCGCCAGCAGAUGUGGUAAUAGCAAAGAACGGAGAUGACCAAUGUGUGGUAGAUUUUUGUGGUAAUCUAGCUGAUCGAUCAAAUGGAGAUUGGCUGGAUGGGGACGUUAUAAGCUAUCUCUGUCCUACAUAUCACUAAAAAAGAAAUGGUUGGGCGAGAUGGGAGCACAAUUAAGAUUUGCAGUGGUUUGCAAAGACACCAGCCCCUAGAGGAGGUGAAAGGUGUUCAGCAAAAAGGGGGAAAUGAGGGACCUGUGCCUAUACCACCAAAGCAAGUGGCAGCAAGAGGAUGAAUUUGAUGAUCUGUUGAUGAUGGCGACCGCAUUACGCCCACGCCAACCUCCGUAUAACCCGGCUUACAUAGAGGAAGAAGAGGCUGCUGCCCCGUUGGGUGCUGAGGCUCUGUUUCUACCUCUGGUGUCUCGGAUGGAUCAGUUCACUGGUAAAGGAGCCACAGCUCCUCUGGCAAGUCUAGCAGAAGCAGAAGCUAGAGAUGCCGGAUGCGAGCAGUGGGCCGGUAGGAAGGUGUACCGAAUUCCUCCAGCGCCAUAAAAGUCAGCUGUAGGAGGCCCCACCAGGUCACAAAGAUGGACCUCCAACGUUUGUUUGGUUAGGCACCAAUAUUAUUUUUUCUUCUCACUGAAUGAUUUUUUUUGUGCUGGUUUUAUUAUGCUAUCUAUUGAGUAUUGUGUUUGCUGACCGGUUAAGCUGCUGCAAGCAAGAAUUUCAUUCUCCUGUUUUGGAACAUAUGACAAUUAAACACUCUUGACUCUCAAAGCUUUCCCGUCCAGGUAACGUCCUUGUGAUUAUUUUCUGCACUCUUUCCAGCUUAAUAAAAUCCUUCCCACAGUUCGACAACCAGAAGAAAUAUCUUGCACGGUUGUAACUUGACGUCCCAACUCUUGUACUCAUCAUGUUGUUUAAGAAGGAACUGCAGAUGCAGUCUGAAGAAGGGUUUCGGCCCGAAACGAUGCCUAUUUCCUUCGCUCCAUAGAUGCUGCUGCACCCGCUGAGUUUCUCCAGCAUUUUUGUGUACCUUGUACUCAUCACCCUGACUGACUGAUGAAAGCAUGCGUACCAUGUACCUUUCAUACCACCCUGUCUACUGGAAUCAUUGCUCUCAGAAAACUAUGUACUUAGAUUCCAGGUCUCUCGGUUCUACAAUACUCUCCAGAUACAAGUGCUACCCUGAUUUAACUUACUGAAAUACAACACUUUGUACUUGUCAGAGAUAAAUUCCAUCUGCCAUUCCAUGAUAAAUUUUCCCAGUUCUAGAUCCUGCGCAAUCCUAAAUAAUCUUCUUCACUGUUCGCUAUACCACUAACGUUUGGUGUCAACUACAAGCUUAAUAACCCUGCUAGAAUCUGGGCAGAUCUGAUCUGAAUAUGGUCAAAAUGAAUAAAAUGGGUUUAACAUAGGAUUAGUGCAAGUGGAUGCUCCAUGGCUGGCAGGAUGAAAAGAUCAGUUUCUGUGCUGUGUCUAUUGUGCUUAUGCAAACCAAGAACCCACCUUUCAUAAAGGAAAGUGCAUGCACAAGGUUAGUUCAGCUCCCUAUUUGAAGUAGAUUAUUGAAAGGAGUGCUGCAAAUUUCAGAUUGUUUGCCUUGUUAGAAACACUUUUGAAUUGGAGAGUUGUAUUACAUAAGAAUUGCUGUCCUAGUUCAAAAUGCCACAUGGUUGAGAACAUUUUAAUCUAAAGAACUGUCACAAUAUUUCUAGCUGCAUCCCAACAAACAUCUUUAGAAUGCUAUACAGGAGCACUGAAAAUAAAUAGAAAUAAAAAUCAGAGACCUCAUCAGAACAAGAACUAAAAAUCGAAGUUUUCAUAUUAUUUGCGUAACCGCUGCAGCUCAGAAUCAACCAUUACCACCUUCUAAACUCAAAACUUCUAAUAGAGCACAUAAUUAUGACAUUAAAAAAAUAAUUCAUACACUAAUCGAAGUAAAAAUUGAGGAAAUUCUGGCUGUACAGUUUUGCCAAAUGAGUGAGAAUAUCUGUAGAUUGCAGCUUUAAAAUCUAAACUUUAAAAUAAAAUUCUGAAAAUUGUCUUUUACCACAUUGUCAUUACCUCCGCAGAGGCACAGAUGUGGCACUGGCUAUGGCAAAGUGAUGGCAGAACGUUGUCUGAAACACGAACGAGCGGGAUUACCUCUAUCUACAUAUGACCGACUUACACAAAUACUUUUCCAGUUGCCUCUUUUUAUUUCUGGUCAGCAAAAUCGAAUUUGUCACAAACCAACUGAAUUACAAUCAACUUCUUAAAUUCUUGCACUGUCCAGCAUUGGUGACAUUACUUUAACCAGAAGGGUCACAUUCUAUGCACAAAUUAUGCAAACAAAUUCUAAAACAUGGUAUAGUUACAGUUUGAUUUUGGAAAUACCGACACUUAAUAUUAAAAGUUAACCACUUCACUGAUA
Leucoraja erinaceus (little skate) is the source of this 4471-nucleotide long non-coding RNA. RefSeq lists it as uncharacterized. The record is from RefSeq and is a predicted model, not a curated record. NCBI's taxonomy places the organism in Eukaryota, Metazoa, Chordata, Chondrichthyes, Rajiformes, Rajidae. The transcript has 3 exons.